UUAUUGUACCUCUGUUGCCAUAUUCCUUUAUCAUUCAAAAGCAUUGUGCAUUAACAUUUUGAGGUGUCCACAAAUGUGUAAAACAAUGAUUGACAUGUCUCUAUGUUUGUUUUUUCAGCAGUAAGAAGAUUGUGCUCAUGACACACAGCAGAUGGGACCUCUACAGAAGAAAGCAAUUGGUCCAUGAGAAGCUGUACGUAGGAGGAGGCACACAGAUCUUGUCCCAAGCAGCAACAGAUUGAUGGCAGAUUAAGAGAAGCAGAGCUUGGUCCAUGACAAACUGUAUGUGGAAGAAGCAGACAGACUUGAUCCCAACCAGCCAGAAAAGGACACGUAGAUAUAGAUUGCAACCGAUUCUGAAAAGAUGUAUAAAAAAUUAUAUUUUGACGGAAUUGUAAAUUUUCUGCGAUUCUGCAGAUUAACUUAUAACAAUGUAAAAACUUUACCUCAAAUUACAUGUAUUUACAUUAC
Molecule: long non-coding RNA, 471 nt
Organism: Branchiostoma floridae (Florida lancelet)
Lineage: Eukaryota; Metazoa; Chordata; Leptocardii; Amphioxiformes; Branchiostomatidae
Exons: 3
Source: RefSeq, a predicted model, not a curated record